GCGGGUGAAAAGCCCGCUCGCCGGAAGACCAAGGGUUCCUGUCCAACGUUAAUCGGGGCAGGGUGAGUCGACCCCUAAGGCGAGGCCGAAAGGCGUAGUCGAUGGGAAACGGGUUAAUAUUCCCGUACUUGGUGUUACUGCGAAGGGGGGACGGAGAAGGCUAUGUUGGCCGGGCGACGGUUGUCCCGGUUUAAGCGUGUAGGUGUGUGUUCCAGGUAAAUCCGGUUCACUUUAACACUGAGGCGUGACGACGAGGCACUACGGUGCUGAAGCAACAAAUGCCCUGCUUCCAGGAAAAGCCUCUAAGCAUCAGGUAACAUCAAAUCGUACCCCAAACCGACACAGGUGGUCAGGUAGAGAAUACCAAGGCGCUUGAGAGAACUCGGGUGAAGGAACUAGGCAAAAUGGUGCCGUAACUUCGGGAGAAGGCACGCUGACACGUAGGUGAAGUGAUUUACUCAUGGAGCUGAAGUCAGUCGAAGAUACCAGCUGGCUGCAACUGUUUAUUAAAAACACAGCACUGUGCAAACACGAAAGUGGACGUAUACGGUGUGACGCCUGCCCGGUGCCGGAAGGUUAAUUGAUGGGGUCAGCGCAAGCGAAGCUCCUGAUCGAAGCCCCGGUAAACGGCGGCCGUAACUAUAACGGUCCUAAGGUAGCGAAAUUCCUUGUCGGGUAAGUUCCGACCUGCACGAAUGGCGUAAUGAUGGCCAGGCUGUCUCCACCCGAGACUCAGUGAAAUUGAACUCGCUGUGAAGAUGCAGUGUACCCGCGGCAAGACGGAAAGACCCCGUGAACCUUUACUAUAGCUUGACACUGAACAUUGAGCCUUGAUGUGUAGGAUAGGUGGGAGGCUUUGAAGUGUGGACGCCAGUCUGCAUGGAGCCGACCUUGAAAUACCACCCUUUAAUGUUUGAUGUUCUAACGUGGACCCGUAAUCCGGGUUGCGGACAGUGUCUGGUGGGUAGUUUGACUGGGGCGGUCUCCUCCUAAAGAGUAACGGAGGAGCACGAAGGUUGGCUAAUCCUGGUCGGACAUCAGGAGGUUAGUGCAAUGGCAUAAGCCAGCUUGACUGCGAGCGUGACGGCGCGAGCAGGUGCGAAAGCAGGUCAUAGUGAUCCGGUGGUUCUGAAUGGAAGGGCCAUCGCUCAACGGAUAAAAGGUACUCCGGGGAUAACAGGCUGAUACCGCCCAAGAGUUCAUAUCGACGGCGGUGUUUGGCACCUCGAUGUCGGCUCAUCACAUCCUGGGGCUGAAGUAGGUCCCAAGGGUAUGGCUGUUCGCCAUUUAAAGUGGUACGCGAGCUGGGUUUAGAACGUCGUGAGACAGUUCGGUCCCUAUCUGCCGUGGGCGCUGGAGAACUGAGGGGGGCUGCUCCUAGUACGAGAGGACCGGAGUGGACGCAUCACUGGUGUUCGGGUUGUCAUGCCAAUGGCACUGCCCGGUAGCUAAAUGCGGAAGAGAUAAGUGCUGAAAGCAUCUAAGCACGAAACUUGCCCCGAG
This 1503-nucleotide ribosomal RNA is filed under the name Salmonella enterica. Its description in RNAcentral is "partial 23S ribosomal RNA". It matches the Rfam family "Bacterial large subunit ribosomal RNA", at positions 1317 to 2803 of the family's 2925-position model. The record is from RNAcentral. Lineage: Bacteria; Pseudomonadati; Pseudomonadota; Gammaproteobacteria; Enterobacterales; Enterobacteriaceae.